CCCUUAGAUGUCCUGGGUCGCACGCGCGUUACACUGAUGCAUUCAACGAGCUUAUAACCUUGGCCGAGAGGCCUGGGCAAUCUUGUUAACGUGCAUCGUGAUAGGGAUAGAUUAUUGAAAUUAUUAAUCUUGAACGAGGAAUUCCUAGUAAACGCAGAUCAUCAAUCUGCAUUGAUUACGUCCCUGCCCUUUGUACACACCGCCCGUCGCACCUACCGAUUGGAUGGUCCGGUGAAGCCUCGGGAUUGUGGUUCUUGCCGCUUUAUUGUGGCGUGACCGCGAGAACUUGUCUAAACCUUAUCAUCUAGAGGAAGGUGAANUCGUAACA
This 328-nucleotide ribosomal RNA is filed under the name uncultured eukaryote. RNAcentral describes it as "partial 18S ribosomal RNA". It matches the Rfam family "Eukaryotic small subunit ribosomal RNA", at positions 1470 to 1796 of the family's 1831-position model. The record is from RNAcentral.